This 279-nucleotide ribosomal RNA is filed under the name uncultured bacterium. RNAcentral describes it as "partial 16S ribosomal RNA". It matches the Rfam family "Bacterial small subunit ribosomal RNA", at positions 506 to 784 of the family's 1533-position model. The record is from RNAcentral.
UGCCAGCCGCCGCGGUAACACGGGGGGCGCAAGCGUUAUUCGGAAUUAUUGGGCGUAAAGGGCGCGUAGGCGGCCUUGUCGGUCAGGUGUGAAAGCCCGGGGCUCAACCCCGGACGUGCAUCCGAUACUGCGAAACUAGAAUCCCGGAGGGGGUGGCGGAAUUCCUGGUGUAGAGGUGAAAUUCGUAGAUAUCAGGAGGAACACCUGUGGCGAAGGCGGCCACCUGGACGGGUAUUGACGCUGAGACGCGAAAGCGUCGGUAGCAAACAGGAUUAGAUA